RNAcentral lists this ribosomal RNA (275 nucleotides) under uncultured bacterium. RNAcentral's name for it is "partial 16S ribosomal RNA". It matches the Rfam family "Bacterial small subunit ribosomal RNA", at positions 338 to 609 of the family's 1533-position model. The record is from RNAcentral.
CCUACGGGUGGCUGCAGUAAGGAAUAUUGGUCAAUGGGCGAAAGCCUGAACCAGCCAUCCAGCGUGCAGGAAGAAGGCCCUAUGGGUUGUAAACUGCUUUUAUCAGGGAAGAAACCUCUGGAUUUACUCCGGAGCUGACGGUACCUGAAGAAUAAGCACCGGCUAACUCCGUGCCAGCAGCCGCGGUAAUACGGAGGGUGCGAGCGUUAUCCGGAAUUACUGGGUUUAAAGGGUGCGUAGGCGGCUUUGUAAGUCAGGAGUGAAAGUUUGCGGCU